Molecule: ribosomal RNA, 433 nt
Filed under: uncultured bacterium
Lineage: Bacteria
Description: partial 16S ribosomal RNA
Rfam family: Bacterial small subunit ribosomal RNA
Source: RNAcentral
AACGAACGCUGGCGGCAUGCCUAACACAUGCAAGUCGAACGAGACCUUCGGGUCUAGUGGCGCACGGGUGCGUAACGCGUGGGAACCUGCCCUUAGGUUCGGAAUAACUCCCCGAAAGGGGUGCUAAUACCGGAUAAUGUCUUCGGCCCAAAGAUUUAUCGCCUUUGGAUGGGCCCGCGUUGGAUUAGCUUGUUGGUAGGGUAAAAGCCUAACAAGGCGACGAUUCAUAGCUGGUCUGAGAGGAUGAUCAGCCACACUGGGACUGAGACGCGGCCCGGACUCCUACGGGAGGCAGCAGUGGGGAAUAUUGGACAAUGGGCGAAAGCCUGAUCCAGCAAUGCCGCGUGAGUGAUGAAGGCCUUAGGGUUGUAAAGCUCUUUUAACCGGGAUGAUAAUGACAGUACCGGGAGAAAAAGCUCCGGCUAACUCCGUG